Molecule: unclassified non-coding RNA, 980 nt
Filed under: Hevea brasiliensis (rubber tree)
Lineage: Eukaryota; Viridiplantae; Streptophyta; Magnoliopsida; Malpighiales; Euphorbiaceae
Source: RNAcentral
GGAUUGAGCCGAGAUAUUUAAAAUAAUUAUUUUGGGGCAAUCCUACUCCAUCCAAAUUAAAUCAUUCACUAUCACCAGUUCAGCUCUCUCUGAACUUGCAGUGCAUGUAUUCUGUUUUCGUUCUACUUAACUUAAAGCCCUUUAACUCUAGAGUACUUCUCCAAAAUUCUUCUCCAAAAUUCUAAUUUUUUUUUCUGAUGGCUCUUUCUCGCGUCUCAUCUAUCAAAACUCGCGUCUCAUCUAUCAAAACUAUAUCAUCUACAAACAAAAUUCCCGCCCAUGCACUGAAUGUCAGUGUACCAAUGUUAUAACAAAGAAACAAAAUCUCAGCAUCUGAAGACAUGAAACCCAAUCUUUUCCCUCUGAAUUUGGUUGAUCACAUAUUGGCAUCACCAAUUCUUCCAAUUGCCUAUCACCUGUAAACUCAGAAUGAGGAAUUUCAUGUGAUACCUCUCGCUUCUCAGAGCAUAAAGAUCUCAACUUCUACAAGAAAACAAAAUAAAAACCACUAAUCAACUUAGCAGCAUUUCUCCUCCGACAUCAGUCUUCUCUAAAUUUUAUAAUUUAAUCAUUUUUCCAAGAAAAUCACAAAAUUCUGCUUAAUUAGCUAUAAUUGAAAUCAUAAACUAAUUCAUCAUCAAAUUUAAAAAAUAAAAAAAACCGUGCAACGAUUUUUAUAUACGAAAGCACCUUAUCUGGAGAAGUAGAUAGAUAACCAGUGAAGGAGAGCUUCCAUUAAGUGAAAAUGGUGUUCUUAGAGGGUUCAAAGCCCUAAGACCGGGAAUAGGAAGCAAGAGAUCAGAGCGGCAGCGACGCGCCAGAAAGUGGCAAAAGCCAUGAUGGAAUGGCAAAGCCGAGUUGGCUGGAAUCCAGAGGUCUAGAAGGCGUAGUGUGUGCGUCAGAUAGAGAAAUGAACUUGUUUGGAGAUUAGUCGAUACAUCUGAUAGAGAAAGAUGGAGUGAUUGGAAGAUGGUUGUUUU